UUUUAACGGCUGCGGUAUUUUGACCGUGCUAAGGUAGCAUAAUCAAUUGUUUUUUAAUUGAAAACUAGUAUGAACGGUUUAAUUUACUUAAUUAGUUUGUAAUUUUUAAUAGUAAGUUAAAUAUAAAGUAAGAAUUCUUUAAUAAAUUAGGGGACGAUAAGACCCUAAAAGCUUUAUGAUUGGCAUUUAAUUGGUGAUAGCGGUGCUAUUAAUUCACUGGGGCAGUGAGUUUAGGUAUAUUUAAGUAUAAUUAAAAGCUCCUUUAAAUAAAGAUUUCAUGUAUAAGUUACUUUAGGGAUAACAGUGCAAUAUAUU
RNAcentral lists this ribosomal RNA (315 nucleotides) under Dikerogammarus haemobaphes. RNAcentral's name for it is "partial 16S ribosomal RNA". The record is from RNAcentral. Lineage: Eukaryota; Metazoa; Arthropoda; Malacostraca; Amphipoda; Gammaridae.